RNAcentral lists this ribosomal RNA (440 nucleotides) under uncultured bacterium. RNAcentral's name for it is "partial 16S ribosomal RNA". It matches the Rfam family "Bacterial small subunit ribosomal RNA", at positions 338 to 795 of the family's 1533-position model. The record is from RNAcentral.
CCUACGAGAGGCUGCAGUGGGGAAUAUUGCACAAUGGGGGAAACCCUGAUGCAGCGACGCCGCGUGAGUGAAGAAGUAAUUCGUUACGUAAAGCUCUAUCAGCAGGGAAGAAAAUGACGGUACCUGAGUAAGAAGCCCCGGCUAACUACGUGCCAGCAGCCGCGGUAAUACGUAGGGGGCAAGCGUAAUCCGGAUUUAAUGGGGGUAAAGGGAGCGUAGACGGUGCGCCAAGGCUGGAGUGAAAUGCCGAAGCUUAACUGCGGAACUGCUUUGGAAAAUGGCGAACUAGAGUGCGGGAGGGGUAAGCGGAAUUCCUAGUGUAGCGGUGAAAUGCGUAGAUAUUAGGAGGAACACCGGUGGCGAAGGCGGCUUACUGGACCGUAACUGACGUUGAGGCUCGAAAGCGUGGGGAGCAAACAGGAUUAGAUACCCUGGUAGUC